This is a non-coding RNA of Xyrichtys novacula (pearly razorfish), 1155 nucleotides long. Lineage: Eukaryota; Metazoa; Chordata; Actinopteri; Labriformes; Labridae. The record is from the annotation of a GenBank genome assembly.
CAAACAAAACCCAAUUUGGAAACACACAACAGCUUCCCUUACUUUUAAUCCAAAUAUCUACAGUUUAAGAAAAAAGUUACCCACCUUCCUCAGGUUUCCCAGGACUGAAGUGGCAAAGAAAUCAGGAUGACCAGUCAAUCCAUAACUGCCUCAGAUAACAGCUCACAUCAAAUGGGAUUCAGAUACCAGUAAAACAUUCAUGAAACUCCUCAGACACAUCAGAAUUAGAGGAGUGUCAAAAGUGAAAAUAACGGGAAUCCUGGAGUUUUAGGGAUGUGAAAGAACCAACUUUUUUACUGUGAUGGUUGGCCUUGUGACAAGAGGCCUCAACAAACCUUAAGUUAACUGAAAACCUGAUAAAUCAUCCUAAAUCAGAUAAAGCCUUCUGACAUUUUCAGCCGCAAGAUAACCUAAGGUUACAAACUUGGUUGAUUUUAACCCAAAGAGAGCGAAAAGGCUACUCUAGCAUGACAUACUGUAUCUCUGCAUUGUUAAAUUUAACUGAAUAUUCAGUUAUAAAGUAGAAAAAACGCAAAAGAUUCCCUGCCUGUCAGAACCAAAUAGUUAUUUUUUUCUUUUGCAUUUUUCAACCACAACAAUUGGUCCUUUUCUCUGUAAUGGUUAAGCACAUGACAUCUUGGUCUGUCAGCUUCAUGUGGCGAUGGUGACCAAACACGAGCCCCUAGCACAGUGGUUCUCAAGUCCAGUCCUUGAGGCCCACUGUCCUGCAUGUUUUGGAUGUUUCCCUGCUCCAACACACCUGAUUCAAAUGAUCAGCUCGUUAUUAAGCCAUUACAGAGCUUGAUAACGAGCUGAUCAUUUGAAUCAGGUGUGUUGGAGCAGGGAAACAUCCAAAACAUGCAGGACAGAGGGCCUCGGGGACUGGACUUGAGAACCACUGCCCUAGGUGACAUAAACAGAGGCUGCUACAAAAUGACUGGGUACAUUCAUGAGCUCUUUCAAAAGUGUGAUAUCUAAGCAAAUUACAAUAAAUAAAGCAAAUCCUGAGAUUUGUAGAAUAAUCAUGUAUUCAAAUUGACGAUAGCCCCUUAAAGAUGGUAUCAUAAAUGAUCCACCUAAACAAGACUUCUCUGAUUUAUCUUCACUGUGAAACACACAGGUCUGGUAGUGUGUUUUAGUGGCUAAUGAGAAGAA